UUUUCCAUAACUCUGAGGUGCGAAGUGGUUCUGACCUUUUGGUACAGAGAAGUCAUUGAUGCCCGGCUUCCAGGAAAAGCUGCUAGCCAUAACUUAUAGAGAACCGUACCGCAAACCGACACAGGUGGACAGGUAGAGAAUACUAAGGCGCUUGAGAGAACUCGGGUGAAGGAACUAGGCAAAAUGGUACCGUAACUUCGGGAGAAGGUACGCCCUUUCUGGUGAUGGGAUUUACUUUCAGAGCUGGAGAGGGCCGCAGAGACCAGGUGGCUGCGACUGUUUAUUAAAAACACAGCACUCUGCAAAUUCGUAAGAAGACGUAUAGGGUGUGACGCCUGCCCGGUGCCGGAAGGUUAAUUGAUGGGGUUAUCUUCGGAGAAGCUCUUGAUCGAAGCCCCGGUAAACGGCGGCCGUAACUAUAACGGUCCUAAGGUAGCGAAAUUCCUUGUCGGGUAAGUUCCGACCUGCACGAAUGGCGUAACGAUGGCCACACUGUCUCCACCCGAGACUCAGUGAAAUUGAAAUCGCUGUGAAGAUGCAGUGUACCCGCGGCUAGACGGAAAGACCCCGUGAACCUUUACUAUAGUUUUGCACUGGACUUUGAUGAUGACUGUGUAGGAUAGGUGGGAGGCUGUGAAGUGAGGACGCUAGUUCUCAUGGAGCCGCCCUUGAAAUACCACCCUGUUGUUAUUGAGGUUCUAACUUGGUCCAGUAAUCCUGGAUGAGGACAGUGUAUGAUGGGUAGUUUGACUGGGGCGGUCUCCUCCCAAAGAGUAACGGAGGAGCACAAAGGUACCCUCGGUACGGUCGGACAUCGUACCAAGAGUGUAAAGGCAAAAGGGUGCUUGACUGCGAGAGUGACGGCUCGAGCAGGAACGAAAGUUGGUCUUAGUGAUCCGGUGGUUCUGAAUGGAAGGGCCAUCGCUCAACGGAUAAAAGGUACUCCGGGGAUAACAGGCUGAUACCGCCCAAGAGUUCAUAUCGACGGCGGUGUUUGGCACCUCGAUGUCGGCUCAUCACAUCCUGGGGCUGAAGCAGGUCCCAAGGGUAUGGCUGUUCGCCAUUUAAAGUGGUACGCGAGCUGGGUUUAGAACGUCGUGAGACAGUUCGGUCCCUAUCUGCCGUGGGCGUAGGAAAAUUGAGAGGAGCUGCUCCUAGUACGAGAGGACCGGAGUGGACGAACCUCUGGUGCACCGGUUGUCACGCCAGUGGCAUGGCCGGGUAGCUAAGUUCGGACGGGAUAACCGCUGAAAGCAUCUAAGCGGGAAGCCUCCCUCAAGAUGAGUUUUCCCAUGAAGCCCGUUGAAGACUACGACGUUGAUAGGCAAGGUGUGGAAGCGCAGUAAUGCGUGAAGCUAACUUGUACUAAUUGGCUGAUUGUCUUGACCAUAUAAUCUGAG
This 1400-nucleotide ribosomal RNA is filed under the name Legionella pneumophila. Its description in RNAcentral is "partial 23S ribosomal RNA". It matches the Rfam family "Bacterial large subunit ribosomal RNA", at positions 1544 to 2925 of the family's 2925-position model. The record is from RNAcentral. Lineage: Bacteria; Pseudomonadati; Pseudomonadota; Gammaproteobacteria; Legionellales; Legionellaceae.